RNAcentral lists this ribosomal RNA (423 nucleotides) under Triticum aestivum (bread wheat). Its description in RNAcentral is "partial small subunit ribosomal RNA". Lineage: Eukaryota; Viridiplantae; Streptophyta; Magnoliopsida; Poales; Poaceae. The record is from RNAcentral.
AUGGCUCCCAAAACAAGGGCGACCAAGGAUGCGGAAAAGACAGGAAAGGCGCCGGAGAAGUCGAAGAAGGCAGUGCCGACGCAGAUGCGGAGGGAAAACACUUGUUUCCCGCCCGCGUUGAAAGUCUCCGACCUCACGGCCCGGUACUCCUUCCAGUGGUCAGUGAAGACCAAGGACCAUGAAGCUGUCGAAGUGUUGCCCGCAAGUGUUCCUGCGGGCGCAGAUAAGUUCGCAUUCUUCACCGGAUUUGUUUAUUGUGGAUUGCUCCCUCCUUUCUCGGCAUUCUUUGAUGAGGUGAUGCGGACCCGGAAUUUUCUGGGGGUGGUGCCCAACGUGCCUCUGUUCCGCCAUUUUUAUUCACCGCAAAUUGAAGGUGACGCCAUCUCCGGUAGCGUGACAUGGAUCUCCGCGCUGCCCGCUUGA